UUCCCGUUCCCGUUCCCGGCUGAGCCCCUUUGCGGUUUGCUUUCCCGUCCCUGUCCGCGCACCCCUCGAUGUGCCCUCCACUCAAGCUCUCCAGCGCCUCAUGUCAGGUAGCAUAAAAAUGCCCUUUGUGAAAUAUCUCUUCAUAUGAUUGAAAAUAAAUAUAUUUGAGAACUCUGCCAUCCGUUUAGAGAUAUGUGGCCCAUAUAAGCAAAAUAGGAAGCAUGACCGGGAUGACCGGGUAAAUUAUUCGUAAUUUAUUGCUUUUCCGGAGUUUAAUUCAAGCAAAGCACAGGACUGGUGAGAACACGAUACCCCUUUCUCCCACAACUUUGAUCGUCCCAGGAACACAUUUUUCUGCUUCCCACACAGGAUAAAGGUGGCGAUGCUUUCCUCAUGACAGGGUCUUCUCCUACGGGAGCAUCUCAAAUGCAAAAUUAUGCAAGGCGGAUGAUGCGGAUGUCAGGAACUUCUGCUGGCGUUUCUCUCAGCUACUCAGGAUCCCGAGAUCUUGUCAAGAAAUUCCUGCUCGUCAGCAGGCUCCCUCCAAGCUAGAGGAGCCCUCGGGCGGAUCGGUGACAAAGGCCGCCAAAAGGAUUUUCCCCAUGACAGGGAAGAGGACUGCCCAUCUCUCACCCAUGAUCAGUACUGAUGUCGCCUCUGCCCUGUCCUGUUGUGUGCUCUCCAGAUUAACCUGAAGGUUGGUCCUUACUAUGAUGUCUGAGGAGAUUUUAAACUUUUAACUAUAUUUGUUACUGUGGGUUCUAUUGCUAUUUUAAUUCAAAUAAUUAUCUUAUAUAUUUCACUAAUGUGAGGAUAAAAAAAGAGGCCUGGGGACCAAAUAACACAGGUAAGGGCAAACAGAUUAAAUUUACUUCACAUAUAAAUUUAAAAAACACAUUUUAAAAUUGUAAUGAUUAUUUCAGAAGUUGUUAAUAGCUCUGGAUUAAUCCUUGUAUACUUAGUUUGGGAUAUUAUGAAGACCUUUGUUAGCCUAGAGGUGUAUUUUUAUUGCAUUUUGAAAA
This is a long non-coding RNA of Oenanthe melanoleuca, 1022 nucleotides long. RefSeq lists it as uncharacterized. The record is from RefSeq and is a predicted model, not a curated record. The transcript has 3 exons. Lineage: Eukaryota; Metazoa; Chordata; Aves; Passeriformes; Muscicapidae.